UUAAGCGACUAAGCGUACACGGUGGAUGCCCUGGCAGUCAGAGGCGAUGAAGGACGUGCUAAUCUGCGAUAAGCGUCGGUAAGGUGAUAUGAACCGUUAUAACCGGCGAUUUCCGAAUGGGGAAACCCAGUGUGAUUCGUCACACUAUCAUUAACUGAAUCCAUAGGUUAAUGAGGCGAACCGGGGGAACUGAAACAUCUAAGUACCCCGAGGAAAAGAAAUCAACCGAGAUUCCCCCAGUAGCGGCGAGCGAACGGGGAGCAGCCCAGAGCCUGAAUCAGUGUGUGUGUUAGUGGAAGCGUCUGGAAAGGCGCGCGAUACAGGGUGACAGCCCCGUACACAAAAAUGCACAUGCUGUGAGCUCGAUGAGUAGGGCGGGACACGUGGUAUCCUGUCUGAAUAUGGGGGGACCAUCCUCCAAGGCUAAAUACUCCUGACUGACCGAUAGUGAACCAGUACCGUGAGGGAAAGGCGAAAAGAACCCCGGCGAGGGGAGUGAAAAAGAACCUGAAACCGUGUACGUACAAGCAGUGGGAGCACGCUUCGGCGUGUGACUGCGUACCUUUUGUAUAAUGGGUCAGCGACUUAUAUUCUGUAGCAAGGUUAACCGAAUAGGGGAGCCGAAGGGAAACCGAGUCUUAACUGGGCGUUAAGUUGCAGGGUAUAGACCCGAAACCCGGUGAUCUAGCCAUGGGCAGGUUGAAGGUUGGGUAACACUAACUGGAGGACCGAACCGACUAAUGUUGAAAAAUUAGCGGAUGACUUGUGGCUGGGGGUGAAAGGCCAAUCAAACCGGGAGAUAGCUGGUUCUCCCCGAAAGCUAUUUAGGUAGCGCCUCGUGAAUUCAUCUCCGGGGGUAGAGCACUGUUUCGGCAAGGGGGUCAUCCCGACUUACCAACCCGAUGCAAACUGCGAAUACCGGAGAAUGUUAUCACGGGAGACACACGGCGGGUGCUAACGUCCGUCGUGAAGAGGGAAACAACCCAGACCGCCAGCUAAGGUCCCAAAGUCAUGGUUAAGUGGGAAACGAUGUGGGAAGGCCCAGACAGCCAGGAUGUUGGCUUAGAAGCAGCCAUCAUUUAAAGAAAGCGUAAUAGCUCACUGGUCGAGUCGGCCUGCGCGGAAGAUGUAACGGGGCUAAACCAUGCACCGAAGCUGCGGCAGCGACACUAUGUGUUGUUGGGUAGGGGAGCGUUCUGUAAGCCUGUGAAGGUGUGCUGUGAGGCAUGCUGGAGGUAUCAGAAGUGCGAAUGCUGACAUAAGUAACGAUAAAGCGGGUGAAAAGCCCGCUCGCCGGAAGACCAAGGGUUCCUGUCCAACGUUAAUCGGGGCAGGGUGAGUCGACCCCUAAGGCGAGGCCGAAAGGCGUAGUCGAUGGGAAACAGGUUAAUAUUCCUGUACUUGGUGUUACUGCGAAGGGGGGACGGAGAAGGCUAUGUUGGCCGGGCGACGGUUGUCCCGGUUUAAGCGUGUAGGCUGGUUUUCCAGGCAAAUCCGGAAAAUCAAGGCUGAGGCGUGAUGACGAGGCACUACGGUGCUGAAGCAACAAAUGCCCUGCUUCCAGGAAAAGCCUCUAAGCAUCAGGUAACAUCAAAUCGUACCCCAAACCGACACAGGUGGUCAGGUAGAGAAUACCAAGGCGCUUGAGAGAACUCGGGUGAAGGAACUAGGCAAAAUGGUGCCGUAACUUCGGGAGAAGGCACGCUGAUAUGUAGGUGAAGUCCCUCGCGGAUGGAGCUGAAAUCAGUCGAAGAUACCAGCUGGCUGCAACUGUUUAUUAAAAACACAGCACUGUGCAAACACGAAAGUGGACGUAUACGGUGUGACGCCUGCCCGGUGCCGGAAGGUUAAUUGAUGGGGUUAGCGCAAGCGAAGCUCUUGAUCGAAGCCCCGGUAAACGGCGGCCGUAACUAUAACGGUCCUAAGGUAGCGAAAUUCCUUGUCGGGU
Molecule: ribosomal RNA, 1948 nt
Filed under: human gut metagenome
Description: bacterial LSU rRNA
Rfam family: Bacterial large subunit ribosomal RNA
Source: RNAcentral